RNAcentral lists this ribosomal RNA (400 nucleotides) under uncultured bacterium. RNAcentral describes it as "partial 16S ribosomal RNA". It matches the Rfam family "Bacterial small subunit ribosomal RNA", at positions 355 to 746 of the family's 1533-position model. The record is from RNAcentral.
UGGGGAAUAUUGCACAAUGGGCGCAAGCCUGAUGCAGCCAUGCCGCGUGUGUGAAGAAGGCCUUCGGGUUGUAAAGCACUUUCAGCGAGGAGGAAGGUGGUGAACUUAAUACGUUCAUCAAUUGACGUUACUCGCAGAAGAAGCACCGGCUAACUCCGUGCCAGCAGCCGCGGUAAUACGGAGGGUGCAAGCGUUAAUCGGAAUUACUGGGCGUAAAGCGCACGCAGGCGGUUUGUUAAGUCAGAUGUGAAAUCCCCGGGCUCAACCUGGGAACUGCAUUUGAAACUGGCAAGCUAGAGUCUCGUAGAGGGGGGUAGAAUUCCAGGUGUAGCGGUGAAAUGCGUAGAGAUCUGGAGGAAUACCGGUGGCGAAGGCGGCCCCCCUGGACGAAGACUGACGC